This 202-nucleotide unclassified non-coding RNA is filed under the name uncultured Sebacina. RNAcentral describes it as "sequence contains ITS1". Lineage: Eukaryota; Fungi; Basidiomycota; Agaricomycetes; Sebacinales; Sebacinaceae. The record is from RNAcentral.
GUGAAUCUUCAAAAGUCGGCUUGUCGGAUUGUGCUGGUGGAGACACAUGUGCACGUCUUGCGAGUCGCAAACCCACACACCUGUGCAUCUAUGACUCUGAGUGCCGCUUUGCAUGGCCUUGACCGGCCUGGCGCUCGAGUACUUUUUAACACACUCUCGAAUGUAAAGGAAUGUCUUGUUGUGCGUAAUGUACAAAUUGAAA